GAGUUUGAUCGUGGCUCAGGUUGAACGCUGGCGGCAUGCCUUACACAUGCAAGUCGAACGGCAGCACGGGAGCUUGCUCCUGGUGGCGAGUGGCGAACGGGUGAGUAAUGCAUCGGAACGUAUCCUGGAGUGGGGGAUAACGUAGCGAAAGUUACGCUAAUACCGCAUAUUCUGUGAGCAGGAAAGCGGGGGACCUUCGGGCCUCGCGCUCUUGGAGCGGCCGAUGUCGGAUUAGCUAGUUGGUGAGGUAAAGGCUCACCAAGGCGACGAUCCGUAGCAGGUCUGAGAGGAUGAUCUGCCACACUGGAACUGAGACACGGUCCAGACUCCUACGGGAGGCAGCAGUGGGGAAUUUUGGACAAUGGGGGCAACCCUGAUCCAGCCAUGCCGCGUGAGUGAAGAAGGCC
This 407-nucleotide ribosomal RNA is filed under the name bacterium enrichment culture clone ALO1_GLFRUDD03F6PAG. Its description in RNAcentral is "bacterial SSU rRNA". It matches the Rfam family "Bacterial small subunit ribosomal RNA", at positions 9 to 416 of the family's 1533-position model. The record is from RNAcentral.